Bos taurus (domestic cattle) is the source of this 2034-nucleotide long non-coding RNA. The record is from Ensembl. Lineage: Eukaryota; Metazoa; Chordata; Mammalia; Artiodactyla; Bovidae.
AACAAAACUGCCUAGUUUCUUAGCUUGACCCAUGGAGACUCUGCUUUUCAUAAUAACACUGCUUAAGGAUACCAGAUCUUUUUAAAGCUGUUUUGAAGAUCAAAAAACCAUCUUUAGAGUUCAUUACUAUUAGCAAAACCUCAGUAACAAAAGUCUGAUCUUUGGUGGUGGAGAUGAGGGGGCAGAUGUGGAGAGAGAGGGAAAGGACGGUUAUUUACCGAGUUCUAAUUGCCGAGCACUGUGUCAGGGCUUCACCUGUUGCUUUCCCCAUCAACCACAUAUAGUUUAAAAGUGGGUCUUCAGAGCUCCAGGUCAAACAGCAGGCUCUUUAUUUCCAUUUCAGGAAUCCCCGUUGCCUCCUUUAAGAGACAAGAAGACCCACAAAUCCUGUCUCGCUGUUCCUAAGGUACAGAAACUGAAGUCAUUUUUCUCUUCCUUUCUUGGAAAAAUGCUGUUAUGUCUGCAGAGCAUAAGUCUGUAAAAACACAAAAAUUAAUAUAUCAUAUCCAUCUUCAAAGUAGCCAUAUUUGGGAAUAGGGAAACUACAGUGAGUAUUUUUCCUGCAGCAAAUCAGAGGCUAAUCCAGACGCCCAAGCCCCAGAAUGCACCUGUGUUCGGCAGCUGUAUCUGGGGAAGUCACCCAGCAUGAUCUACUGUGCUGGCUCUUUCCAAGAGGAGCCUCAGAAGGAAGGAGAAAAAUGUCUGAGGGCUCGUCUGGGGAGAAAUAAAAGAAAUAAUUGUUCUAAAAAAAAGGAGAAAUUGGUAUUUCACCGGCAGCCUAAGAUGCACAGAAGCACUUUAAACUCCUGUGGCUGGCAUCCGUCAUCUGAAAAUCACCAACUUGUUUAAAAAUCCCUCACCGGGGGAUUGUGCUGCUGCUGCCAGGCAGCCUGAAACCGAGUGUGUCUAGAUACUCAUAUGUCCUCGACGGGGGCCCUGGGGGACUCUGGUGUGCUGCGGCCUGAAUGCCUCUUGCCAACAUUCGUAUGGGAACGGCAGAACAAGAAACUCGAUUUCAGCACAAGUCAGCUGCUAUGGAGAAGGAGCCACGUGGAAGUGAGGUUUCGCCAUCAAGGUUUCAAUGAGCCCCAGGUGUACGGCAAAGGGGGAGGAUAUUUGCCCCAGACAAGGUCCCCUAUUGCAGUGCACACUGUUCCCGGUUCUGGCUUUCUUAACACAGAGACAAAAUGAUCCUGCCUGGAAACAACGCAAGUGUUGUGAUACACAGAGCUGUGGGGUGAUGGAAAUCAAACUAACAGUGGUUUAAGCCUUGAUGAAACUGAGCUAUGAUGAAACAUGGCACGAGGUGGUUUGGGAAGGGCUGCACAGGGGAAGAUGGAGCACAGCAACAGUGGGCUGAAGAUCUUUGCGUGUCUAGUCUGCUGCUGCUGCUGCUAAGUCGCUUCAGUCGUGUCCGACUCUGUGUGACCUCAUAGACAGCAGCCCAUUAGGCUCCUCUGUCCCUGGGAUUCUCCAGCUAAAGUGACUUGACUGAUCCAAGCAGGAUUUCUCAGUCAGAAAAGUAUAUGAGGGUCACCUCAACUAGACAGCUGCACAUGGAUCGAAGCCAAAAUGAGAGCCCGGAUGGGGGUCUCCACGUGAGAUACAGAUGAAAGAGGAGAGAGUUGAGAAAAACAAAACAAGCAGACCAGCACUGAGAAUAGGAAAAAGGCUUCCACAUCACCUUCCUCCUCUGACCACUCUUCCUCUGCAGCCCAAGGACUGAAUGAGAAGGUUGUACCAACUAUCACUUCUGGGUAUUUUGGUUGUACAUGCACAGAUCAAAGAGAUGACUACUGGGUGGUCUUAGUGGACCAACUGUGAUGUGAAGCUCCACCAAGACUGCAUACAUAAUGCGGCCUCUGUAUGCAUCCAUGUAAUAAGGAUGUCAGCAUGAUGCUGUGAAUUUCUGGGUAUCACUGUCAACCUGGAUUCUGUGUCCUGCAGUCCUCUGGAUGUUGAUACACUCCCUUCUCCCUGGUUCAGAGUUAUCCCAAGUAAAUGGCCAUCGGUUCCUUUGGAGCUGAACUGGAA